AUAUUGUUAUGCAUGAUACAUAGUUCUGUCAAAUACAUGUAUCAAACACAAUGUCCUCUUAAUAUAUAACCAAAACUCCACAAUCACUAUCAAGCUGUCAAUAUGCUGCUGUUAUAAACAUGGGCAGUGUAGAUCAUGUAAACAGUUUCACAACUAGAAGAGAGAUUACACCACAGACUUUUCAACAUUUAAUUAAAGUGUAUUUUAAUUUCAUAUUAAUUAUACAUCAUGACUUUGUGGUAUAUCGUGAAAAUGAAAACAUUGUAUAUGUCUUUAGUGGAGACGUACACCUCUUCAUUACGCUGCUGAUGGUGGUCACAGCGAUGUAGUAGCUCUACUCAUUCAGCACGGAGCUGAUCCCUGCAGUACAGACAGGCGUGGUGUACGUCCCAGCGAUCGCCAAAUAUGGACAAAACAUGGAUUAGCAACAGUUUUAAAGAAAUUCGAGAAUGGUCAAGUCCAGAACUUCAUCUUCAUCUUGUGUUUGGAACAUGUUGCUGCUACAAUGACUCUUGUUGAGGCUUACAUUAUUUUCAAUGAAGACAUGAGUAACGAUCCUACCAGUGAACUCCAGAACAAGAAGUUAGAUAGAUUAAACGCGUGGGCCAACACGAAUGGGGUUAAAACUAUCCAAGAGUUAAAAGUCAGAUUGUCGAAUGUUGGACGUCAUAAUUUAGCCGUGGCUGCUGCAAAUCACUACGCCAAGAUCGUCCAAGCGAUUAUGGAUAUGUCAGCCGAAUACUACGAAACAUUUUGUCAAGAUCCCAUGUCAAACAGACACAUGAUUACAUCUACAGUUUGUCCCACGGAGCAGAGAUGUGAAAUAAGUAUGGAGACAGAUUUGUACCAAUACGACGCAUAUUUAGCACACCACAGUGACGACGAGGAGGUAGUGGACAAGGUGAGGGGGGAGUUAAAGUCCAGUGGAGUCCGCUGUUCUGAAACAGCUCUUGCUGGAACAUCCAAAGUAAACUCUGAUAAUGAUCCAGUUAAGACAGCCAAGCGCACGGUGCCAUUUUUUUCCAAAAAUUCUCUGGAAAGUAAAUUGUUUAAGAUGACGUGUGACGUGGCACUUAUUGAGGCCGACGAAAGGAAAGAAGACGUGAUGAUUCCUGUCACCAUUGACGUCGAUCCAAAGUCUUUACCGCCUCCAUAUGGAACUCUCAAUUGUAUCCCUUACCAGAGCCAAGAUUUCAUCCCGAAAUUGGUCAACGCUAUUAAAGGACCAACAGAUGCGCCUCUCUACGGUGAACUUCGUGAUGAAAACGAAAACCUGAAACGGGAGAUUGCAGCAUUGCGACAGCAACUUGAAGAUUGUACAGCACUGAUCAGACGUCUGCAGGCAGAGUAGGAAGCUGCAGCUGCUCCUAGACAAUUUGUCUGUGAACCCCGAGGAAUGUGAACUAUGACUACUAUAAAUAUUUGAUUUUUUGCUAUUGAUGUACAAUUAUUUUCGAAAUCUCUCUCCAAAGUCUUCUCUUUCUGUUAAGUAUAACACACGAUUUAUUACAAAAAGUUGGUCAAAUUACAGAACCUGAAUUGAAAGAGAAGCCCAUUGUUUUUCGAUACGCACUUUAAAAUAGCCAGCAUAUCUUUUGAAUGGAAUAGUUAGUAAGGAUCAUUUCUUUCACGACAGCAUGCAUGUCGUUAUGUUAGGGCAUGUUUCAUAGGUAUUGACCUGCAGUGUAAAUGAUUCGUUAGAAGUAAGUACAGGGGUAACAAGCCACAUUUACUAUAAUAAUCCAUGUACCACAGCCAACCAAUAAGAUAUGGUGCAUAAAGAUACAAGCAGUAUAAUGUUAACUCUCAGUGGGGGUACCGUGAUGAGAACGUGCGCCAAUUACCAGUUGACGUUUUAGGAGAAGAAAGAUCCCCUUGAAAUGUACAUAGUGGACUUACUUUAUCAUAUGACCAUAUCAUAAUGGACUUAUUUUACCAUAAAGCAUUAUCUAUCCUGUUUGUUGUUUAUAUUAAUUACAGCAUAUUCACCGCACCCAAUGCACCACCAGCAUUCGGAUACCAGCAGUAAAAAGGCGACUGUCAGAGCGGAUACCGUGAGGACGUGAUAGCUAGUUAGCAUUAACCAGCAAUCAAAGAACGAUUUGCGUUGUGUUUUUAAGAUGCACUUUUGAGGUGUGCUCGACAUGUGAUAUAUUUGCAAAGUAAGCUUAAACAUGUAAAGAACAUUGUGUUAUCACUGUGGAGUCAGAAUAUAU
This 2216-nucleotide unclassified non-coding RNA is filed under the name Lingula anatina. Its description in RNAcentral is "uncharacterized LOC106171217, transcript variant X1". The record is from RNAcentral. Lineage: Eukaryota; Metazoa; Brachiopoda; Lingulata; Lingulida; Lingulidae.